Dermacentor andersoni is the source of this 469-nucleotide long non-coding RNA. RefSeq lists it as uncharacterized. The record is from RefSeq and is a predicted model, not a curated record. Lineage: Eukaryota; Metazoa; Arthropoda; Arachnida; Ixodida; Ixodidae.
UGAAAGCGCGGCGCAAUCAGGCACCGCUCUCGAUCAAGACGACGUUCGGUGUCCAGCGUGAGGAUCCAGGAGCAACAUACCUGGGCAGAUCAUGUCCAAGGAAAGACGAAGAAGGAGCUACAGAGGCCCAUGGAGGAGACACUAUGAGACGUCCCUACCCUCUCUGGCUCCAACACUAUGUCGUUCAGGAACGAGGAAGGCAGAGGACUAGCCAUGAGGAUCAGAAAAAUUCUGCCUUUAUGGACCAUCCAAUCCAGUCUGGAAGGGGCGUCGCCUAAUGACCUUCUCCCAAGCGAAGCAGAAUGAAAGGAGGCCAUCAGAAGCACGGUACUCCGAAAACGACCGCAGGCUAUCGAGAGGGCCCACGAAAGGGCGGAGCGUCACGGCGUUUUCUCCUCUACGUGGGCGCGGUCAGCGACUACAGUGGCCUCCCUUUACGGUAUCCUCACUGUAGCUCCUCAGGAUCAAA